GACGAACGCUGGCGGCGUGCUUAACACAUGCAAGUCGAACGGAAAGGCCCUGCUUUUGUGGGGGGCUCGAGUGGCGAACGGGUGAGUAACACGUGAGUAACCUGCCCUUGACUUUGGGAUAACUUCAGGAAACUGGGGCUAAUACCGGAUAGGAGCUCCUGCGGCAUGGUGGGGGUUGGAAAGUUUCGGCGGUGGGGGGAGGAAUCGCGGCUUAUCAGCUUGUUGGUGGGGUAGUGGGUUACCAAGGCUUUGACGGGUAGCCGGCCUGAGAGGGUGACCGGCCACAUUGGGACUGAGAUACGGCCCAGACUCCUACGGGAGGCAGCAGUGGGGAAUAUUGCACAAUGGGCGGAAGCCUGAUGCAGCAACGCCGCGUGCGGGAUGACGGCCUUCGGGUUGUAAACCGCUUUCGCCUGUGACGAAGCGUGAGUGACGGUAAUGGGUAAAGAAGCACCGGCUAACUACGUG
RNAcentral lists this ribosomal RNA (468 nucleotides) under uncultured bacterium. RNAcentral's name for it is "partial 16S ribosomal RNA". It matches the Rfam family "Bacterial small subunit ribosomal RNA", at positions 28 to 507 of the family's 1533-position model. The record is from RNAcentral.